Long non-coding RNA from Cyprinus carpio carpio, 1537 nucleotides. The record is from Ensembl. NCBI's taxonomy places the organism in Eukaryota, Metazoa, Chordata, Actinopteri, Cypriniformes, Cyprinidae.
ACAAAACAAAAAAAACACUGAAAAUACAGCAGCUAAACACUCAGUUAACAUCAACCCAUCCCACCUUAACCCCACCCCGUAUAUUGCUAUAAACCGCAAAACCCGAAGGACCUUUACUGCUCUCACACCAAACAUCCCGGCUUCACGUCCAGAUCUGUGCUAGCUCCCACAUCCUGCAAUUCACCCUACAGCAGACAGCAGACAUAUUCAAAUACCAACAAAAGCGUGAAUGAGUCAAUCUGUAUAUAAUAUAAUAAAAUGGUCACGCUCAUCCAGCCGAUUUAAAAUACGAAUAACCCAUAAAAACGUGAAUUAAGCAGGCAGUCAAAAUGGCACAAGGAAAAAAAAAUUGUCACACUCAUCCAGCUGAUUUCAAAUAAAGAUAAAAUUAAAUAAAAGAUAGAAAUAAAUAAAAGGGCGUGAAUCAGGCAAUGCAAUACAAGCAAAAAGGUCACGCUCACCCAGCUGAUUUUCUUAUUUUUUAUUUUCUUCUUAUAAAGGAGAGAAGUUUUAGCGGUCCGUCAAAUAGUUAAGUAACAUGAGUCUGGGAAUAUGAACAGAACAGUGGUAUGCUCACACAGGCGAUCGAAUUUACUACGGACUCACACCCAAAGAGCCUCAGAGAUGGACCGCGACCGCAUCCUCUCGCCGGUCUGGAGAGUGAUGCGCAGCUUCUCAGGGACGAGGAGCGAGGGUCGGAGCCAGGAGGACCCCCUUGUGUUCAGCCCGCUGCUUCAAAACUUCCGCGCUGUGAUCUUCACUGAACCGAAGCUUGUGGCCAUGGUGCUCCAGCUCGCCCUGUUUCCGAGCCUCCCUCCUGAUCAAGUCUUUAAUCUGGUGCUGAUGAUGAAGGGACGCGGUCUCUCGCGCGGGACAGGUUUGGGUGCCCAAGUGCGAUGAGGUCUGUCCAGCUCCGGGGGAGAACUUGAUCACCAAAAACCUCAACGAGAAGUUGGGAGAAAAGCCGACUAACUCUGGCAUUCAGCGACGAAAGGCAUCAUCAUCGCUAUGAUUUGCACAUUCUUCGAAGCCUUCAAUGUGCCGGUGUUCUGGCCCAUCCUCGUCAUGUAUUUCAUCAUGCUCUUCUGCAUCACCAUGAAACGGCAGAUCAAGCACAUGAUCAAGUAUAGAUACCUGCCCUUUAACCUGGGGUUAAAAUGUAUGUGUGUGUGUGUAUAUAUAUAUAUAUAUAUAUAUAUAUAUAUUUUAUGGUUAGCAUGUUUUAUUUAUUUAUUUAUUUUUUUUUUGGACAAUUGCAUUUUUACUGUAUUAAAUUAAUCUUCAUCAAAACAAAUUAAUAGAUUUGUUAAUUCCUGAUUAAAGACAUUGCAUGUUUUAGGGUUUCUUGUGCUGCUGGUUAAGAGAAAACAAGAUGAUUUUAAUAACUAAGUAUACAUUUUUCACUCCAAAUGCUAUUAAAAGGCUGUGUCCCUUCACUGCUCUUUACAUUUAAUUAAUGAAUGAAUUGAGUUGUAUCGAUUAUGAUUUUUUAUCAAUGUCCUUGUUAAAUAGUAAAAAUUGCAUAAUUAUAUAGCCC